This 446-nucleotide ribosomal RNA is filed under the name uncultured bacterium. RNAcentral's name for it is "bacterial SSU rRNA". It matches the Rfam family "Bacterial small subunit ribosomal RNA", at positions 330 to 793 of the family's 1533-position model. The record is from RNAcentral.
UCCAGACUCCUACGGGAGGCAGCAGUGGGGAAUAUUGCACAAUGGGGGAAACCCUGAUGCAGCGACGCCGCGUGAGUGAAGAAGUAUUUCGGUAUGUAAAGCUCUCUCAGCAGGGAAGAUAAUGACGGUACCUGACUAAGAAGCCCCGGCUAACUACGUGCCAGCAGCCGCGGUAAUACGUAGGGGGCAAGCGUUAUCCGGAUUUACUGGGUGUAAAGGGUGCGCAGGUGGCAGGGCAAGUCAGAUGUGAAAGCCCGGGGCUCAACCCCGGUAUUGCAUUUGAAACUGUCCGGCUAGAGUGCAGGAGAGGUAAGCGGAAUUCCUAGUGUAGCGGUGAAAUGCGUAGAUAUUAGGAGGAACACCAGUGGCGAAGGCGGCUUACUGGACUGUAACUGACACUGAGGCACGAAAGCGUGGGGAGCAAACAGGAUUAGAUACCCUAGUAU